UUGAUUAAAGCCAAACUAGAGGCUAGUCACUGUUAAUGACUUAAAUGAGUGUGUUCUAAUCAAA
This 64-nucleotide transfer RNA is filed under the name Echinogammarus veneris. Its description in RNAcentral is "tRNA-Asn". Lineage: Eukaryota; Metazoa; Arthropoda; Malacostraca; Amphipoda; Gammaridae. The record is from RNAcentral.